RNAcentral lists this ribosomal RNA (380 nucleotides) under uncultured eukaryote. Its description in RNAcentral is "partial 18S ribosomal RNA". It matches the Rfam family "Eukaryotic small subunit ribosomal RNA", at positions 592 to 977 of the family's 1831-position model. The record is from RNAcentral.
CAAUAGCGUAUAUUUAAGUUGUUGCAGUUAAAAAGCUCGUAGUUGGAUUUUGGGUUAGGGUGUCCGGUCCGCCGUUCCGGUGUGCACUGGGCGCUCUUUCCUUUCUGCCGGGGACCGUUGGGUGUCUUCAUUGCCAUCCCUCGGGAGUCGGCGUUGUUACUUUGAAAAAAUUAGAGUGUUCAAAGCAAGCCAUCGCUCUGAAUACAUUAGCAUGGAAUAACAUGAUAGGACUCCGCUCUUAUUUUGUUGGUUUCCGAGACUGGAGUAAUGAUUAAGAGGGACAGUCGGGGGCAUCCGUAUUUCAUUGUCAGAGGUGAAAUUCUUGGAUUUAUGAAAGACGAACUUCUGCGAAAGCAUUUGCCAAGGAUGUUUUCAUUAAC